AUUCCGGUUGAUCCUGCCGGAGGCCAUUGCUAUCGGGGUCCGAUUUAGCCAUGCUAGUCGCACGAGCUUAUACUCGUGGCGAAUAGCUCC
RNAcentral lists this ribosomal RNA (90 nucleotides) under Halobacteriales archaeon QS_9_68_17. Its description in RNAcentral is "partial 16S ribosomal RNA". It matches the Rfam family "Archaeal small subunit ribosomal RNA", at positions 1 to 92 of the family's 1478-position model. The record is from RNAcentral. Lineage: Archaea; Methanobacteriati; Methanobacteriota; Halobacteria; Halobacteriales.